AUUGAACGCUGGCGGCAUGCCUUACACAUGCAAGUCGAACGGCAGCGGGGGAGAAGCUUGCUUUUCCUGCCGGCGAGUGGCGAACGGGUGAGUAAUACAUCGGAACGUGCCCUGUAGUGGGGGAUAACUAGUCGAAAGAUUAGCUAAUACCGCAUACGACCUGCGGGUGAAAGUGGGGGACCGCAAGGCCUCAUGCUAUAGGAGCGGCCGAUGUCUGAUUAGCUAGUUGGUGGGGUAAAGGCCUACCAAGGCGACGAUCAGUAGCUGGUCUGAGAGGACGAUCAGCCACACUGGGACUGAGACAAGACCCAGACGCCGACGGGAGGCAGCAGUGGGGAAUUUUGGACAAUGGGCGAAAGCCUGAUCCAGCAAUGCCGCGUGUGUGAAGAAGGCCUUCGGGUUGUAAAGCACUUUUGUCCGGAAAGAAAUGGCUCUGGUUAAUACCUGGGGUCGAUGACGGUACCGGAAGAAUAAGGACCGGCUAACUACGUGCCAGCCGCCGCGGUAA
Molecule: ribosomal RNA, 508 nt
Filed under: uncultured bacterium
Lineage: Bacteria
Description: partial 16S ribosomal RNA
Rfam family: Bacterial small subunit ribosomal RNA
Source: RNAcentral